This 426-nucleotide ribosomal RNA is filed under the name uncultured bacterium. RNAcentral's name for it is "partial 16S ribosomal RNA". It matches the Rfam family "Bacterial small subunit ribosomal RNA", at positions 354 to 796 of the family's 1533-position model. The record is from RNAcentral.
GUGAGGAAUUUUCCGCAAUGGGCGAAAGCCUGGCGGAGCAAUGCCGCGUGAAGGAUGAAGGCCUAUGGGUUGUAAACUUCUUUUCUCAGAAAAGAAUUAUGACGGUAUCUGAGGAAUAAGCAUCGGCUAACUCUGUGCCAGCAGCCGCGGUAAGACAGAGGAUGCAAGCGUUAUCCGGAAUGAUUGGGCGUAAAGCGUCUGUAGGUUGUUUAAAAAGUAUUCUGUCAAAGAUUAGGGCUUAACCCUAGAUAGGCAGAAUAAACUUUUAAGCUAGAGUUUGGUAGAGGCAGAGGGAAUUCCCGGUGGAGCGGUGAAAUGCGUAGAUAUCGGGAGGAACACCAAAGGCGAAGGCACUCUGCUGGGCCAAUACUAACACUGAGAGACGAAAGCGAGGGGAGCAAAUGGGAUUAGAUACCCCGGUAGUCC